CCCUUAGAUGCUCUGGGCCGCACACGCGCUACACUGAAGGAGGCAGCGUGUACUCCUGGAUCGAAAGAUUUGGGUAACCCGCGAAUCUCCUUCGUGCUAGGGAUUGAGGUUUGCAAUUAUCCUUCAUGAACGAGGAAUUCCCAGUAAGUGCAAGUCAUAAGCUUGCGCUGACUACGUCCCUGCCCUUUGUACACACCGCCCGUCGCUACUACCGAUUGAAUGAUUUAGUGAGGACUUCGGACUGGGACCGAUGCGGCUUUCGGGCUGCGUCGGUAUUCUGGAAAGAUGUCCAAACUGUAUCAUUUAGAGGAAGUAAAANUCGUAACA
RNAcentral lists this ribosomal RNA (327 nucleotides) under uncultured eukaryote. RNAcentral's name for it is "partial 18S ribosomal RNA". It matches the Rfam family "Eukaryotic small subunit ribosomal RNA", at positions 1470 to 1796 of the family's 1831-position model. The record is from RNAcentral.